This is a small nucleolar RNA of Zalophus californianus (California sea lion), 72 nucleotides long. Ensembl annotates it as small nucleolar RNA SNORD45. NCBI's taxonomy places the organism in Eukaryota, Metazoa, Chordata, Mammalia, Carnivora, Otariidae. The record is from Ensembl.
GGUCGGUGAUGUGAUGGCAUGUGUUAGCUGAAUCCAAAGUUGAUGCAAAUUCUAAAAUUACACUCAAACCUU